This 185-nucleotide non-coding RNA is filed under the name Phycisphaerae bacterium. RNAcentral's name for it is "6S RNA". It matches the Rfam family "6S / SsrS RNA". Rfam says of the family: E. coli 6S RNA was the first non coding RNA to be sequenced, but its function was unknown until recently. RNAcentral also lists the same sequence under 1 other name. Lineage: Bacteria; Pseudomonadati; Planctomycetota; Phycisphaerae. The record is from RNAcentral.
UGACCCCUGCAGUGUUCGUGAGAAUGCGUACUGUUGAAAGAACCGAUACCCGUUCUGAGGGAAAUCAGGUCUUGCCGGGCCGGACAUGCCUACUCGAUAGGACAUCCGGACGCGAGCAACGAUUGCCCACCUUGCAGUAAUGGGUUCUCUUCAAAAUCCAUUCUCACGGCACAGGUGGAGGUGAG